RNAcentral lists this ribosomal RNA (345 nucleotides) under uncultured bacterium. Its description in RNAcentral is "partial 16S ribosomal RNA". It matches the Rfam family "Bacterial small subunit ribosomal RNA", at positions 338 to 680 of the family's 1533-position model. The record is from RNAcentral.
CCUACGGGAGGCAGCAGUGAGGAAUAUUGGUCAAUGGGCGCGAGCCUGAACCAGCCAAGUAGCGAGAAGGAUGACUGCCCUACGGGGUGUAAACUUCUUUUAUAAAGGAAUAAAGUGAGGCACGUGUGCCUUUUUGUAUGUACUUUAUGAAUAAGGAUCGGCUAACUCCGUGCCAGCAGCCGCGGUAAUACGGAGGAUCCGAGCGUUAUCCGGAUUUAUUGGGUUUAAAGGGAGCGUAGAUGGGUUGUUAAGUCAGUUGUGAAAGUUUGCGGCUCAACCGUAAAAUUGCAAUUGAUACUGCCAGCCUUGAGUACAGUUGAGGUAGGCGGACUUCGUGGUGUUGCG